UAUAUAUUUCAAGUCAUCCAAUGCUUGAAUAAAAGCCCAAUGUGUUUAGGCCCAAUGGGCCCAAUUAAACCCGAACGUUUCUUUAAGCCCAAAACGAUCUUUAUCGCUUUUAUGAUUUUUUUAGACUUUCUAAAUUAAUCACAACACUUAAUUAAUCCAAUUAAUUAUUUCCAUCAUCCAUUAGUUACUCACUACAAUAGUGUAUUGGUGAACAAUCUUUUAGGUUCUAAUUAGCAAGACAGUGAGGUGAUUGGCACCAAUCCAAUUGAUUAUAUUUAAUCCAAUCACUUAGUGAAUUAAAACAUACUU
RNAcentral lists this long non-coding RNA (309 nucleotides) under Malus domestica (apple). RNAcentral describes it as "long non-coding RNA (MDOM_LNC020985)". Lineage: Eukaryota; Viridiplantae; Streptophyta; Magnoliopsida; Rosales; Rosaceae. The record is from RNAcentral.